Gasterosteus aculeatus aculeatus (three-spined stickleback) is the source of this 4163-nucleotide long non-coding RNA. The record is from Ensembl. NCBI's taxonomy places the organism in Eukaryota, Metazoa, Chordata, Actinopteri, Perciformes, Gasterosteidae.
AUUGGCCAGCAGUUGUUCCUCGUUCAGGACACCAUUUGAAUAGUCAAGGAACAGAUGGUUUUGUUUGUUCUUCACGCUUGCUGAACUUACCUAACCUGCUGUCGCUCAUUCAGGAUGCAGGAUGCGCCUCUCCGCUUGUGUUCUAAGUAAAUACUGUUGAGGGCGAACGUGCCACUAACAUGUGGAGAGGCUCCUGUGUGAGGUUGUUCUGACGCAGAUGUUUAGAGAUCAAUAUUGAAAUAACGAUGCAAGGCAUAAAUCAUAUUUAUUGGCAUCGUACGUUUUUUACACAUACUGUAUAUGUACAGUUUGCUAGUCAAAUGAAUAUUGAACCACAGCAAUAUUCAAAAAGUCACUCAUUUAAAGUUGUUAAUCAUUUUCUUGACGCCUCCACAGGCCGACAUGUAUCCUCUUACCGACGCUACUUCCCGGAGGUCGAUCCUUGUCAGUAGUGAGUCCGUUCAGCUCGUCACCAUUCUGACCGCCUGUCAAUAAAAUCCCGUCGGUUUGCUUUGUGCUAUGUGAUGGUACGCUGAACAUCUUUGGGGUUUGGGGCGGUUGGUUGGAUUUAAAAAGCAGCUGGAUGACUUUUGGAUUACGGGAAAUUACAGCGCGUAUGUUUCGUUUUAAAAGACUAAAAAGAUCCUCAGGAAUUCACUUGAUAAUGAAAACAAUCGUUGGUGGCAGCCCUGAUUGAAUCCGCACUGAAGCCUGCGGGGUUCUAGCCGUCUCAAAUGUCCUUCAAAAAGCUUUGGCGGCAGCUGCCGUCUGAAACACCCGCUGGCAAUAAAUAACUUUAAUUGGAUGACCUUCACAAACCACAAAUAGCGGUUUCCCAAAAGGUUGUUCUAAUGAAGCAGGUGCUUCUCUUUGGGACAACCGCUGCAGUUCAUCUUUGACAGAGCCGCACAGACGAAUCUCCGGUGAAUGUCUAGACAUUACAACAUUAUGGAAACAUCUUUCCUGUGUUGCCUAACAAACACAUGGAACGCCCGGUUUUCUGUUUACAAGCAAGGUGUAAGAUAAAAUGACUCUUCUUCCUCCAUCACGACAACUGUCAAGAAAAUGGGCAUCUUAAAUUGCAUCACAUUGUCCUCACACCGCCGUUGACUCAUGUGCGCUGGCCUUUUCUUUCCGAUGGAAGGAGUGUUCUGCACAACGGGGCGGUCAGGCUUAUCAUUUUAUUUGUAGCAAAACAAAUGCAGUCAGAUUUAGAAGCAGGAACACGGCACGUCAUCGCUAAUCUUCAGUGUGCUCACGACACGUUUGGGACGACCCCAACAGAUUAAUCUGCCCAAAGAGAUUAGUGCAAGUUCUGUCUCAGAGUUGUUCUUUGAAGUGAUGUUUGUGUGUGUGUGGGGGGGGGGGGGGUUCCUACACAUUAUAUCUGAAUAGAGGUGUAGAAAAUCUCUGUAAAUCAGCAGCCCUUUGAUCAAUCGUUACCCAGCUCACCUAAACCUAAACUAAACUACUAAAGGCAAGGGCAAAAGGUCAAAACUGCUAAAGACACCUUCAUGUACCUGUCCCAACGGCGUUAUGGGGCAAAUAAGAAACUGUGGAAGAAACAGCAACACCACAAAAAUAAAUCUAAUUGGUUGUUUGAUCUGUUAAUGAUGUUCAGAACCCCAUGCAGGGCGACGGUUCACAAAUCCAAAAAGGUUCUCAAUAAAUCGUUUAAAUGAUUUACAGAAUGUUGCUAAAAGUAACUGACAAAGAUGGUUAAUUCAAAAUUAUUUAAAUAGUUGAGUAGGAAUGUUAGAUAUGAAAUAUAUGAAUAAACGUAAUGAAUAAACCGUUGAAAUGGUCGGGUAAAGGUAAUAGAUUUACUGUUGCCAUAGUAACAACGCUCUCAAGCCAGUAGGAGACGAGGCCAACUUUUCUUUCUCAAAUAAAUUCAGUCUUAGUACUUUUCCAACAGACGAGUAGAUUAAGUAUAAAGUCUAAAGUUAAGAUUAGUAUGAGACUCAGUAUGCAACUGGCCCGGGUGUUGUUUAGACUUCCCAAUGCAAUGUGGCUCACGCAUCAAUGUAGAUGGUUUUCUGUCCACACUGAAACCCUGUAGAUGCUGUAAGUGGCCCUGGGGAGAAGGCAAGUGGAGAGCAAAAUACCCGGCCGCUGCAGGCUUAUGGCUCGUUUUAAAGUAUUCUUACGCAACACGCAGUUGAAUGACGGCUUAAGUGUCGUCAAAUGUAACUUGAAUUUUGGGCAAAUCCCAAUGACAUCAUUAAGAGUACCUGUGCACCAAUGUGCAGCUACACUACAUCUCAGUCCGGUGAACGGAGACCGGACCUUUAUCGCGUACCUUCUGGUAUAAAUCAUACAUUACAAAACAGUGUUGGGCCCAUAGUAACAUUCAUUAAGGACCUUGGCGGUAUUAAACCGGUAUUCCAAAUAUCUCUCCUCCGCCCUCUGGUUUGUAUUGUUGCCCUCCUUUAUGACGAUAAACAGUACAUAGAGAUUGAAGUGACAUGUCAAAGGUUUCGAGGUUUGCAUAUUUGUGCUGUUGUCCUCUAUCGGGGACAUGACAGUAUUUCUCAGUUAGACGUUGUACAAUAACACAAUGUUGACAAAAAUUACACCUACAACAUUUAAAAAAAAACAAAAAAACAUGUGUUUUUUUUGUUGUUGUUUUUUUCAACUCCAGUUCUGUUAGCGAGCCAAAUCCUCUUUGAAAAGUGUGUCAAUCCUCUCUCACGCACUGGGCCAACAGGCCUGACGGUCCCCAGUGAGUCCUGCUGUAAAAGGUUCCCACGUUGUGUACACAGAAUAACGUAACACAAAUGCACGAGGACCUCCUGUAUUCACUUCCAGGGGCCUGUCUGCCUGCUGGGUGCAGCGGCUGCGGUCCUAAUGGCCACGUGGGUGAAGACGCUCCUCUUUGCAGCUCGGCCACAAGGAUCUCCAGGGAGGCCAUUAAAAGGAGAACAUCAGCCCGCAGAGCUUUUUGUCCGAGCGGAAGGAGCCAGAACAGCGGGGCGUGUUCCUGACCCGACGGUUCCCUGUGACGGCUCUCGACUGAGAGUCGUGGCCAGAUGAAGGGACCUAUUAAUAAAUUCCUCCGUAAGAGGACUGAAUCUCGACCCCGGGGCGGCGGCGAUGACUAGGAUGGACUUUCACUGGCAAGGAGGAGCAUUACAAUUCAAGGCCGAUCUGACAGCGCUUCUUGCCUCGCGUCAUGGCGCCGGCGGCAGACAGUCAGGACCGACGGGGUUCGGGGGAACAAAUAAGGUGUGACGGGGAGGAGACAUCCAGCCGGCAGACACUGCGGGCGGCAGCUUUCAUACGGAUGUCGCUUCGCAGGAGGGUUUUCAGGCUCUAUCCAAGUAUAAUCCCAACCAAAAAAAGGAGGUCGAAUCAGAAUUACUGGCAGCUCAUUCAUAUUCCUACACACAGCAGGUCGAUUCUCCAGAGAUUCAUUCUGAACAAAGGCGUUUGAGACCGGUACCUUUUUUCAAUCCCCGGGUUCAACCUCCAGCAUGGAGGUCAAGGCCCUCCCGGUUUGGCCCCGACCUUUCCCGCUGCGACAUCCCUGCUCAUCUCACGGCACGUCACAUUCAAUGUAGGGGAUGUCGAUGUAGCGGCGGUCCACCUCCACCCACUGCUGCACGGCCCGGGCCACGAUCUCCUCGGAGAGCCUGUGGGCGUACUCCAGCAGCACCGGGUUGACCUUAAGGGAGCUCUCCGGCGAGCCCGCCUCUGGGUGGAGCAAGUAGGCUUUCUCGCCCCUCGCUUUGCCCUCCACCUUCUCUGUGGAGUUUGCAUUUUGGCCAGCAGAGUCGCACCUCUUGGAUUUGACACACCCCAUGCUCUGGAGGAUGUCGCAUUGAUUCACUCCAAAGGCGGGAGUGCCGCAGCGACGUGCGGUAGUCUUUGGUUCGAUUUCCAGGGAUUAGUCACGGCCCAGAAGCAGCAGAAGCUCUCCCCCCCCGGUCGACUUCUCUCUGCUCUGUUCAGCUGGCGUCAUCCACUCCCUCUCUCAUCCAUGUCCGAGCGACGACACGCCUGGGAAAUUCGGAGGGCGCUGGUGCGACGGCGGCUAGGAGGCCCAUCCCCGUGUGGGUCUGGUGCCGUUGAAACAGUCAGUCUUGCUCCCUCGGAGGCCCGUCGCUUCCUCAACUGCGGAGAGAGUUGAGGAGAGGUAAAACGGGGGAUGUAUAGUGAUU